Long non-coding RNA from Felis catus (domestic cat), 2766 nucleotides. RefSeq lists it as uncharacterized. The transcript is spliced from 2 exons. Lineage: Eukaryota; Metazoa; Chordata; Mammalia; Carnivora; Felidae. The record is from RefSeq and is a predicted model, not a curated record.
CCAGUGUUUGUUGAGGACAGGGGGUGUGUCAUCACCGAUAUGGACAAGGGAACCUUCAGGUGUGGGUUUGAUGGCUGAGGAGAAGGGCAGAGACACACCAGGCAGAGGCUGUUUCACUUUCUCAUUAGAUGUUCAAGUCACUUGCACGCCUACUUUGGCCUCCGUUUCCCAAGCUAACGACCCACUUGAGCUGAAGAUGUAUCUAUCAGGAUAAACCCCAAAGUCAGAAUGCCUAGUUCCAAGACCCUGCUUUGCCCUGGAUGUGCUGGGAAGCUUUGGGUGAGUUUCUCAGCAUUUCUGGACCUCAAUCUUCUUAUUUGCAAAAUGGAGAUAAUGAUGCCACCCUUUCACAAGGUUACAGAGAGAAUGACACAAGGGAAUGUAGACAGAAAACCGCGGGGCAGGAGGCUCCCUGGUAACCCAAACCUGCAGUGGUUCCCUGGGGAAGAAGGCAGGGUCCUGGGAGGCACAUACCUCACUAAGCCCCGUGAGCUUGCGACUAUAGGUGGGUCGCGUGAAGACGUAGACCGGGAGUGCGUGGUUGGGGUGGUGGGUGUGAGCCACACGAAGGGCCUCCUGAACACGGAAGCUGACAAAGUUGCGGCCGUGGGUGGAGGACGCAAGUGUCUCGUCCAGGUAGACAGAGGGGAAGAGGGCUGUGCUCUCUGCCCACAGCCAGGCCAGCUGGUCAUUUCGGGAGACCUCAACGUCAGGGCAGCGGCCUGUAUAGGUCUCCCAGUUCUGCACAUAAUCAUGGUUAUAACAGUCUGGGAAGAGGUAGAAGCCCCAGAGGUGCCGAGGCCGAACUGCCUUGACAAAGCGCAGUGUCUCCAGCAUGAACUGCCGUGCAGCGAAUUCAAACUCGUAUUGCGCCUGCUUGACUACACGAUCUGAUGGCCAGUCAGGGUGGCGAACAGCCACCAACUGGCGUGAUGAUUGACGGUAUAUGUCCUUGUCCUGCCAGUUGCGCACCCACACAGGCCGCCAGUCCUCCCAGUCGAUAACUGCCAGCCCUGCAGGCUCCUGUGUACGAAUGUAGUGCUCCACGUGUUCCUGCAGCAUCUUCAGAUGUGCCCAGAGGCUGCCAUUCUGUGGCACGCCACCGUGCACUGACCUCCCCACUGAACUGAAGCGGGGAUACAGGCCCAGCCGGUCAUGGUAGAAAAUGGUGAUGUUCUGGUUCACAAAACCCUCAUUAGGUGAGGCCUGUACAUCAAAGGCCUUUAGGUCCAGUGGCACCUUGAGGCGAGGGCCACAAUCUUGUGUGGGCACGUCCCAUGCUACCACAAAGGGUCGGCCUGUAAAGAUGGGUGGCGCUGUGGGCUUGAGCUGGGUGGCCCAUGCCGCCGCCCACACCACAGCCAGUGUGAUGGCAGGGCCCAAGCCUGCCCACAUGCUGGGGGCUACAGGAAAACGGUGUCACCUGCCUGGCACCAGCUCAGGAACUAGGGGAGAGAUGGGAAAGAGCAAGUCAGUCUAGAGAAUCAGCGAGGUGCCCACCCCAAACCCAUUCACACUCCCCAAGCCCACGCUGUGGGGGGCACCGUGCCCAAGGCUGUUGAGACCCUGUUACGUGACUGUAACAGGUCUGAAAGACCACAGGAGGGAAGGGAAGACACCCUGGAACUCCCUGCCAGGAGCACAGGAUUCCUUCCUGGAGCAGGUGGCUUACGGCUGGACAGAGACCUCUGGUAGGUGUGUGACUCUAAGAAUUGGCCGGCUGCACUACGGACUAGCUGUCCACAGAUACAGAUGCCUGCAUACCACCCAAAACAUGGUUUCAGAGAGCCUCGAACCCGCGGCCCACUCUGUACUCCACGAGGAACUCCUGGUCCAGGGAAACGAUAGCAUUUGUAUAAGGAAGGGCACAGCUCAUACAGCCACAAGGAAGCUGGAACACAGCCGCGAAGCUAUCAUGUGUGUAACACCCGCCAGGAAGAAGAGCGAGAACGUCAGGACUUUGUCUCGAACGCACUCUCCCAAGCUUGGUGGAGGCCCCACCGGGACAAAGGGGUGGCGGACCUCCCUCGGCGGCGCCGGCGGACCGGCCCUUCGCUCCGCAGCCACCGGGAAUGCGCCCCACACCGCCAGACGGGUCCCGGGAGGAGCUCACUCCCCCUGGCCUUUGUGCUGGACCCCGCCCCCGCCCCGCACGUGGGGCCAGUGCCCGGCCGGGUGGGGGUUGGGUUCCUUGGCCGCCCCGCUGAGCGCAUCCCCUGGACUUCUGAACCCAACCUGAAGGAAGAAAGCCGCUAGGCUUGCACUGCCCGCCCUCACCUCGCGCGGGGCGCUGCCGGGACCCACGCCAUGGCCACUGCCAUCCCCGGCCCAGCCCGGCCCGCUCCGGCCGCUAGCCCAGGCGCAGCCCAGGCUCCGCGCCUCUGCUGCUCCGCCCCGCCCCCUCCCCACCCCGGCCCGCGGGCCCUUUAAGAAUCCAGCGCGGAGGUGGGCCUGGGGCAGGACUUGUGGCCGGGGCGGGAAUGUGUUCCCGACUUUCGCGCAGCCAGUGCCACGUUUCAGGCUCCAAGGCCCCCAGAUUCUUCCCCGAGGAACGUGACCAUCCAUCUGGGGCCGUGAGGCCCCUCCGAACAGGGCUUUCUUCUGGAAUCUUAGGUGCUAGUGCCAGUCAGCCCAAAGUUUCCUCCCCCACCAGCUCACUGUCGGUGGUACAGUCCUCCCCGCUCCGCCGCGCGACCAGCCGCUUAAAGGGACAGCGUAAGAGUCGGGAGUCGCUCAGCGAAUAAAGAAGGUGUUCCUCCGCCUGUC